RNAcentral lists this ribosomal RNA (457 nucleotides) under uncultured bacterium. RNAcentral's name for it is "partial 16S ribosomal RNA". It matches the Rfam family "Bacterial small subunit ribosomal RNA", at positions 29 to 507 of the family's 1533-position model. The record is from RNAcentral.
AUAAACACUGGCGGCGUGCAUGAGACAUGCAAGUCGAACGAAGGAUCGGGCUUGCUCGAUCCUUAGUGGCGGACGGCUGAGUAACGCGUAGGUGACCUACCCCGAAGUGGGGAAUAACUGCCCGAAAGGGUGGCUAAUACCGCAUGUGGUCGCACGUUCAUUCGUGCGAGUAAAGCCGCAAGGCGCUUCGGGAGGGGCCUGCGUCCGAUUAGCUCGUUGGUGGGGUAAUGGCUUACCAAGGCGACGAUCGGUAGGUGGUCUGAGAGGACGAUCACCCAGACUGGGACUGAGACACGGCCCAGACUCCUACGGGAAGCAGCAGUCGGGAAUUUUGCUCAAUGGGGGAAACCCUGAAGCAGCAACGCCGCGUGAGGGAUGAAGGCCUUCGGGUUGUAAACCUCUUUUGUCAGGGACGAUGAUGACGGUACCUGGCGAAUAAGCCACGGCUAACUACGUG